This 7709-nucleotide long non-coding RNA is filed under the name Populus trichocarpa (black cottonwood). RNAcentral's name for it is "long non-coding RNA (PTRI_LNC004311)". The record is from RNAcentral. Lineage: Eukaryota; Viridiplantae; Streptophyta; Magnoliopsida; Malpighiales; Salicaceae.
UACUAUUUCUUUCAAUCUCUCUUGCAUAAGAAGAAACACACACAAUUGGCACAUAUUGAUUAAUGUCUAAAAUCGCAGCAUUCCUUGAAAUUAAUAUGUAUACAGGCAGUUAUUAUUAUUAUUAUUAUUAUUAUAUUUUAAAAAAUAAAUAUCAUCUUUAAUAAUAUUUUCUUAUUUUUCUUAUUUAAUCUAAAAAAUUAAAUAUUAUCUUUAAUAAUAUUUUUUAUUAAAUAUUUAAGUCUUUGGUUUUCUUUUUUAUUUCUUGAUUUUAUGAUAAUAUAUUUAUACAGGCAAUGUGCAACCGUGGUCACGGGUAUCGUAUUAACUUCAGUCUAGAACAUGAUGAACUACAUGAGAUGCCAGAUUGGAUGAGCUACAGGGGAGAAGGAUGCUCAUUGUCAUUCCAUAUACCUCCAGUCUUCCAUGGCUUAGUUCUUUGGUUAGAGAAGGGUACUCAUAUGUACACAUACACUAACAUUAUUAUUAUUAUAAGAAAUAAAAGCAACGGAAGAAUAUUGUUUAAAGAUAAACGAGCACAGAUAGGAAUACAUAUAUUUAUGCAGGGAUGGUUAAGAUACAUAAGUAGAAGUGAAAUGGCAAUGGAAGAUUACUGUGGAGACGAAUUGGAACUAUACAUUUCUUCAGAGCCAACAGACUAUGCACUGCGCAAGGGUAAAUCAUUGAAACCAAGCGUUAAAGAAUGUGGGGUCCAUGUGAUCGCAGGGAAGUCAGAUUCAUUAAAAAAGUCGGCAGUGGAAAGAGAUACAGUGAUGCUUUCACCACCGCUGUAUCAUCUGCUUCCUCAUCCUCAUCGUGGUUCAAUUACAACGUCUACACCUAAGCAAUGGUGUGACUUUUUACUUGCGGAGCUGCAAAACCAUAGCCUCGGUUUAUUGCUUCUUGGUAAGAACAAAUAUUUCCUUUAGUUAUUUUUAUUCUAUUCUAUUUAAUUUAUGAGAUUAAAUAUUAUCUUUAAUUAUUUCAUUAUUACUAUUUAAUAUAAAAAAUUAAAUAUCAUUUUUAAUAAUAAAAAAUUAAAUAUUUAAGGCUUUUUGGUAAGAAUACAUAUUUCCUUUAGUUAUUUCUAUUUUAUUCUAUUUGAUGGGAAUUUGUUCGUAAUAACAAAAUGCACAUGUUUAACUUUCUUUUCAAACUUGGAAGUUUUAUUGAAUUUGAUGGCUUUUGAAGGUAGAGAAGACUUGGAGUGAAGAGUACAAGAUCAUUUUAUAUAGAGAUGCUUGAAGUUACUUCAAAUUAGUACGGUACUUCUAUCUGAUGUAUUGAUAUGUAUUUGUUUGUUUGAAGAUUAUUUUCCAAGCUUGGAAGUUUUAUUGAAUACUCUUUGAAAUCUUUUCCAUCCGCUUUUAUAUUUUUAUAUUGGACAACCUAGUUGUUAAUUAUUAUCCAUGAUGUAAUUUAUAUUUUCAAGUUAUAAAUUUUGAUGAAUAUUGUUUCAUUUUUUUCCUCAUUUCAAAAGUUGAAAAUCCUUAUUUUAGUUAGAAAUAAAUUGGUUUUCUAGGAAGAGAUUAUUGAUUGGAAACAAGAGCAAAAGAAAAAAGCAAACACCCCAUUCGAUUUUCAUUCAGUAUAAGAGUGAGAAAGAGAGACGCCAAGGUGGUUCUCGAAUAUUUUGUUCUUUUUUGUCUCGCUCACUGGGGUAAAUACUUCAUCAUUUAAUGUUAUAAUUUAAAAUAAUUGAUGAAAAAGAAUUUUAUUCAAUCCCAAUCCCAAUCCCACAUUGUCUGUAGAAGUAUUUACUUUUGACUGUACACUUUGUUAUUUUCCAAUCCCUCCCCAGUUCUGCAACCAUUUCUCUACUUUCUAUGCUCUUGGCUUGCUAAAAACUAAAGAAAACACAUUGCUCUAGUUGCCUGCCUUCACUCUUCAGAUUGCUCAACAAAUCCCUUGAGACCUUCUCCAUAGUUAACACAUCACAUAAUGGCUACUCUAAAAAAUUUAGCCAUAAACAUUGAACACCUUAAGCAAUCAACGUGCCUUCCUUCACAAUAUGCAUCACCCAUAAAUCUUUCUUUUGGGAUGUCGCCGGGAGUUUAAAUUUCCGAGUGUAAAAAUUACUCAAUGAAAAAGCGAGCACUAACGCACCUUCUCCACAAACUACCAUAAAUAUAUAAAUAUAUUAUGAAAACAAGAUAAAAAGAAAUCUUUCGGUACAUCUAUAUAUAUAUAUUAUGGCUAUGAAAAUAGGUUUGUGGAAAUUUACAUCAUUUGAUCUUGACAGUGUCAGAUUAGACAAUUGCAUGGAAAUGGUCUUCUUAGUUUGCCGUGUGGAAAAUCAUGUCAUUUACGGGGCUGCUGGAGAGAGUGUCUAUUGAUAAUUUUAUCUUAUUUGCAUUGACCGGUAAUUUCACUCGAAAAUUUCUAGUAAUUUAAAAGCAAAUUUCUACUGACUAUUAUUGACUGGCUUCUUGCAAAGUAUUUGUAAGAAAGCUAAAGAAUUAAAGUUUUUUAAUUUUUAAAAUUGUAAGAAAAAAAUCAAUUAUUUUUAAAAUUGUUUUCAAAAAUAAAACACCAACUAUUUAUAUAAUAGCUAAAUCUAUUAAGAUAAAUCCAAAAUAACUAGUAAAAUCAGUGACUUGCAUUGACGGUGUAAUGAUCUGGAACCACUCGCAAUAAAUAAAGCCAAAAAAGGCAGACGAGUGUGUCUAUAUAUACAUAUAGGAACCGCUGAUUCGAUUUGAAUAUGUUAUUUGAUUAGUCUAAUUCAUGACUUGCAUUGACUCAAGAUUACCACUCAAGAUUUCGUGGUGCUUUCUCGGCCUGCAAAUGAAUAGAAAGCAUGUCGUUUUAACCUCAUUUCAAUAUCCUUGCUUUACUCUCCAGCUAGCCUGAUACAUAUGAGUCUCAAGACAUACGGCCAUUGAUAGAAAGGAGUGCUGAAGCAAAAUAUUUUUUUAUCUGUAGCGACCUCAAUAAUGUUAAAGCGUGGACCACCAUGAAAUUACCGCUCCAAAUUCCUUGUUCUUUCUAUAUUAUUAGAAAAAUUAUCAUUGACUAAUUUAAUUGGAAAUUAUUUGCGAGAAAGCUAAAAAGAAUUAAAGUUUUUUAAUUUAUAAAAUUAUAAUUUUAAAUUGUAAAAAAAUUCAAUUAUUUUAAAAAAUAAAACAUCAACUAUUUAUAUAAUAGCUAAAUAAAUCUAUUAAAAUAAAUUGAGAAUAACUAGUAAAAUCAAGCAAAUAAUCCAAAAAUAACAAGAAAAUAAAUAUAUUUCCUAGAUCUAAUUUGAUUAUAUUUAUUAUCUUGAUUGACUUACUUGUUAAGUCUUCGCUAAGCAUAAAUGAACUUUAAUCUAAGAAUCUGUUUUAUAUUUCUUCAUUUAUUAAUGAAAUAUUACUUCUACUGUAUAGUUUUUGGUUCCGAGUUGAUCCACCAGAUUAAUAGGUGAACAAUAUAUUUUGUCUCCACAGGUUAUAACAUCAUUUCAAUAUCUUUAAACAAAAUCUUUGUUAAACUGCACCAUUGGUAAUUGAUUAUGCCUUAAUUUCUGCAGCUGCCAGGACAGAGCCAGAGUCUUCUCGAUCUAGACCAGAAGGGGCCUAUGAUGUCUUCUUGAGUUUUAGAGGAGAAGACACUCGCAAGACAUUUACAGAUCAUCUCUACACUGCCUUAGUCCAAGCAGGAAUCCACACUUUUCGAGAUGAUGAUGAACUUCCGAGAGGAGAAGAAAUCUCCGAUCAUCUCCUCAGGGCAAUUCAAGAAUCAAAGAUAUCCAUAGUUGUCUUCUCAAAGGAUAUGCUUCUUCUAGAUGGUGUCUCAAUGAACUUGUAGAGAUUCUUAAGUGCGAAAAUAGGAAAACCGGUCAGAUUGUUCUUCCUAUAUUCUAUGACAUUGAUCCUUCAUAUGUCAGAAAACAGAAUGGCAGUUUUGCAGAAGCAUUUGUUAACCAUGAAGAGCGUUUUGAAGAGAAGUUGGUGAAGGAGUGGAGAAAAGCUCUUGAGGAGGCUGGAAAUCUAUCUGGAUGGAAUCUCAAUGAUAUGGCAAAUGGGUAUGCCUUUUCUCUCUAAAAUUCACUUGCAGACGUUUAUGGAGUAAUUCUACAUUACAUUUUUCAAUGUGAAGUAAUAAAAUAUUUCUUUUUAGCAUACUUAAUUGACUUGCUAUCGAUGACUUGCUUUUUUUCUGUGAGCAGGCAUGAAGCAAAAUUUAUCAAAGGGAUUAUCAAUGAUGUGUUGAAUAAAUUACGUCGCGAGUGCUUAUAUGUUCCUGAGCAUCUGGUAGGUAUGGAUCUUGCUCACGAUAUUUAUGACUUUCUAAGUACUGCAACAGAUGAUGUACGCAUUGUGGGCAUACAUGGGAUGCCAGGAAUAGGAAAGACGACUCUAGCAAAAGUUGUAUUUAAUCAACUCUGCUAUAGAUUCGAGGGAAGCUGCUUUCUUUCGAAUAUCAAUGAAAGUUCAAAACAAGUUAAUGGUCUUGUUCCUUUACAAAAGCAACUUCUUCAUGAUAUUUCAAAACAAGAUGUUGCUAACAUCAAUUGUGUCGAUAGAGGAAAGGUUAUGAUCAAAGAUCGACUUUGUCGCAAAAGAGUUCUUGUUGUUGCUGAUGAUGUGGCUCAUCUGGAACAGCAGAAUGCAUUGAUGGGAGAGCGAAGUUGGUUUGGUCCCGGAAGUAGAGUAAUCAUUACAACAAGAGAUUCAAAUCUUCUUCGUGAAGCAGAUCGAACAUAUCAGAUCGAAGAAUUGAAACCACAUGAGUCCCUUCAGCUUUUCAGCAGGCAUGCCUUUAAGGACUCCAAGCCAGCACAAGAUUAUAUUGAGCUUUCGAAGAAAGCCGCUGGUUACUGUGGAGGACUUCCUUCAGCUCUUGAGGUUACAGGAGCUCUUCUGUACAGGAAAAACAGAGGUAGAUGGGAAAGUGAAAUGGACAACUUGAGCAGAAUUCCAAACCAAGAUAUUCAAGGAAAGCUUCUAAUAAGUUAUCACGCACUUGAUGGUGAACUACAAAGGGCAUUCCUUGAUAUUGCAUGCUUCUUUAUUGGUAUAGAGAAAGAAUACGUCGCAAAAGUGCUAGGAGCCCGUUGCCGUCCCAAUCCAGAAGUUGUUUUGGAAACUCUCAGUGAAAGGUCUCUGAUUAAAAUAUUGGGAGAGACGGUAACCAUGCAUGAUCUAUUACGAGAGAUGGGAAGGGAGGUCGUUUGUAAAGCGUCCCCAAAAGAACCUGGAAAGAGGACCAGAAUUUGGAAUCAAAAGGAUGCAUGGAAUGUACUUCAACAGCAGAAGGUACGAGCUCAAUGCAUACAUGAAAGCGUAGUCAUGUGUAUUUUCUCAAUGCAAACAUGAAAGCAUAGUCAUGCGUAUUUUCUUGUCAAACUUAUUACAAAUAAUUGAAUGAAAGUUGUAUUGAUUUUUUUUUUAGGGUACGGAUGUUGUAGAGGGUCUUGCACUGGAUGUCAGAGCAUCAGAAGCUAAAUCACUUAGCGCAGGAUCAUUAGAAAAAAUGAAAUGCUUAAAUUUACUCCAAAUCAACGGAGCACAUCUCACCGGAUCCUUCAAACUGCUUUCUAAAGAGUUGAUGUGGAUUUGUUGGCAUGAAUGUCCUUUGAAAUAUUUUCCAUCUGAUUUUACCUUGGACAAUCUAGCUGUUCUUGAUAUGCAGUACAGUAACCUCAAAGAACUAUGGAAGGGAAAAAAGGUGCGAAACAUGCUGGAAUCCCCAAAAUUUCUCCAGCAUGUAAUUUAUAUUUACAUGUUAUGACUUUCUAUGAUUAAUUGUCAUUAUUUUACUCUCUCUUAUGACAGAUUCUCGACAAGCUAAAAAUCCUUAAUCUCAGUUAUUCUCAUCACCUUAUUAAAUCACCAAAGUUGCACAGUUCAAUUCUAGAGAAACUAAUUCUGAAAGGUUGCUCAAGUUUAGUUGAGGUGCAUCAAUCAAUUGGACAUUCGACGAGCCUCGUUUUCUUGAAUCUCGAGGGAUGUUGGAGUCUGAAGACUCUCCCUGAAAGCAUUGGUAAUGUAAAGUCUCUUGAAACUAUGAAUAUUUGUGGGUGUUCACAACUUGAGAAAUUGCCAGAAGGCAUGGGUGAUAUGAAAUUCUUAACUGAGCUGCUAGCCGAUGAGAUUAAAACUGAGCAAUUUCUCUCUUCAAUUGGGCAAUUAAAGUAUAUCAAAAGGUUAUCAUUGCGUGUUUCAAAUUUGAAAUGUUGGCUGCCAACAUCUUUCACUGAAUGGAGAUUAGUGAAAUAUCUUAAGCUUUACUGUGUUGAUUUUAGAGGUAUGUUCUCUCUAAAAGUAUUGGAUCUAAGAGGAAACAAAUUCUCUAGCCUGCCUUCUGGGAUCGGCUUCCUUCCCAAGCUAUCGUACUUGGUUGUUAAGACAUGUGAAUAUCUUGUAUCAAUCCUAGAUCUUCCCUCAAGUUUAUGCCUUUUGGAUGCAUCUUAUUGCAAAUCAUUGGAAAGAGUAAGAAUACCAAUCGAGGCAAAAAAAGAACUAUGUGUAAAUAUAUAUAUGAAAGUCUUUCGGUAGAAGAGAUUCAGGGCAUCGAAGGUUUAAAUAAUAGUUUCUGGUAUGUUAGUGUUACAUCACCAAAUAAAUUACAGAAGAGCAGUCAUUCACCAAAUAAAUCACAGAAGAGCGUUGUUGAGGUACUAUUUCUUUUAGUCUCUCUUGCACAAGAAGAAACACACACAAUUGGCACAUACAUUGAUUAAUGUCUAAAAUCGCAGCAUUCCUUGAAAUUAAUAUGUAUACAUACAAUUAUUAUUUUAAUUUAAAAAAUAAAUAUCAUCUUUAAUAAUAUUUUCUUAUUUUUCUUAUUUAAUCUAAAAAAUUAAAUAUUAUCUUUAAUAAUAUUUUUUAUAAAAUAUUUAAAGUCUUUGGUUUUCUUUUUUAUUUCUUGAUUUUAUGAUAAUAUAUUUAUACAGGCAAUGUGCAACCGUGGUCACGGGUAUCGUAUUAGCUUCAUUGUUGAUGAUCUACUUGAGAUGCCAGAUUGGAUGAGCUACAGGGCAGAAGGAUGCGCAUUGUCAUUCCAUAUACCUCCAGUCUUCCAUGGCUUAGUUCUUUUGUUUGAGAAGAGUACUCAUCUUUACACAGUCACUAACAUUAUUAUUAUUAUAAGAAAUAAAAGCAACGGAAGAAUAUUGUUUAAAGAUAAACGAGCACAGAUAGGAAUACAUAUAUUUAUGCAGGGAUGGUUAAGAUACAUAAGUAGAAGUGAAAUGGCAAUGGAAGAUUACUGUGGAGAUGACGAAUUGGAACUAUACAUAUAUUCACAGCAAUCAGAGUAUGCAACGGUCAUUCAUUCGAACCCGUACACGUUAAAGAAUGUGGGGUCCAUGUGAUCGCAGAGAAGUUAGAUUCAUUUGAAGAGUCGGCAGUGGGAAGAGAUACAGUGAUGCCUUCACCACCGCUGUAUCAUCUGCUUCCUCAUCCUCAUCGUGGUUCAAUUACAACGUCUACACCUAAGCAAUGGUGUGACUUUUUACUUGCGGAGCUGCAAAACCAUAACCUCAGUUUAUUGCUUCUUGGUAAGAACAAAUAUUUCCUUUAGUUAUUUUUAUUCUAUUCUAUUUAAUUUAUGAGAUUAAAUAUUAUCUUUAAUUAUUUCAUUAUUACUAUUUAAUAUAAAAAAUUAAAUAUCAUUUUUAAUAAUAAAAAAUUAAAUAUUUAAGGCUUUUUGGUAAGAAUACAUAUUUCCUUUAGUUAUUUCUAUUUUAUUCUAUUUAAUUUAAGAGAUUAAAUAUCAUCUUUAAU